This 5317-nucleotide long non-coding RNA is filed under the name Sus scrofa (pig). RNAcentral's name for it is "lncRNA (ENSSSCG00000054713.1)". The record is from RNAcentral. Lineage: Eukaryota; Metazoa; Chordata; Mammalia; Artiodactyla; Suidae.
UGGCCACUCAGGCUAUGGCUCCAGAUGCCUCUUAAGCAAUGGUCAGGAAGUGACUCAGGCCUCAGACUCUAUGACAGUGACCCCCAUCUCUGGCCUCCUCAGCCAUACCUGUGUUUACUCUGCAGUAAGACAGCCUUGGAGAGAUGUACCUUGGACGGUCCUGGCUGGGAAGUCAUGAAUGGAAGUGGAAGAGGUUGGGGUCACCGGGAACAUCCCUGGGGCUCUCUCCUCUUUGAGCUCCAAGGCCCCCCUGCUCUUCUGCUCCCAGACACUGGCACAAUGUCAUUGCCUUGGUUUCUGCCCUCUUACCAUCCAGGUGGGGGGUUAGGAAACCAAGCUGGGAAGGAGACCCUAAUUCCCGUCCUGCCUCUGAACUACUGGCCGUGUGAUCCUGGGCAAAAUACCUUCCCCUCUCUGAGUUCAGUGUCCUCCCAAUAAGAGGGACAUGAUAUUAAAGCAUGACAAGUGUAUACAUAUAUAUUGUCUUUUUAGGGCUACACCCUUGGCAUAUGGAAGUUCCCAGGCUAGGGGUCGAAUUGGAGCUGGAGCUGCAGCUGCCAGCCUACAUCACAGCCACAGCAACGCCAGAUCCUUAACCCACCGAGUGGGGCCUGGGAUGGAACCCGCGUCCUCAUGGAUACUAGUCGGUUCAUUAACGCUGAGCUACGACGGGAACUCCAGCAUGACAAGUAUAUUUGAAGAGUCCUGGGGCUGCGUUAUCCCCGGUGCAGACUACCAACAGCCCAGUGAGGCAGGGACUGUUGGUGCCUCCAGCCAAAGAGCCCCAGACACAGCUGUGGGUGAGCAAGCUGGGUUUGUCACUCUUGGCACCGAGGGAGAACAGGCAUGUGGGGAGACAUCUCAGGAAGAGGGUAUUGAAAGGACCUAGUGUAAGGUUUGCAAGGUUCGGUGAUUUGGUGGAAGGUAUAAGGAAGCUGGACUUUGUUGUGCAUUUAGUGGAGAUGAUUCUGUGAUUAGGUAUCUUAGUAAAUCUUGCCCGGAAGGAGGGCCAGCGAGAAUGGGGAGAGGGCAGCUGUCUUCACGCAGAGUAGCUUUCAGAUGGGGGUGUUUGGUCAUGCUUGUGGUUAGGACGAUAUUUGUGUUUUAUCUGUGCUCAGAUGUGAUUACAGAGUGUCUUGUUUUUGUCUUGAUCCAUUGUGGUCACAGAUGGCCUUGUCUGCGUUCAACAGAGCACAUCCAGAUAAACUGUGCCAGGCCAGCUUGAAGUGACGCCAAGGUCUGGCUGAUGGGAGGUCCCAGAUGUCAGGAUAGCCUUAUUCCAUGAGUACAGCUGGAGAAACUGAGGCCCAGAGGCAUUAAAUAAUUUGCCCAAGGUCGCAUGACCGAGAAGGUGGUGGAUGUGGUCUUGGAUCCUGGUGUCCUGCUCCAGAAUCUGCUCGUUUACCACCACCCAGACUGCCCGGUGCCCAGCAAGUACCCGAGAAGUGCCUGUUCUUGUAGAGCUGUCUUCCUAGCAAGCCUGAGCCUCUGCGGGGCAGGGGCAUAGGGUUUAGGAGCUUACUGACUGGCUUCUUAGAAACUGAGACAAAGCCCCAUGUGAUUAGGAGGCUGGCUGCCCAUGUCGCCAUCCUGGCCACCCAGGCGGCAUCUUGCCUCAGAGAUAUGGCAGCUCCUUGAACACUGAAGUCCUCUCUGUCCCAAAUGGCAGAGCCAGCAUUUCAAAUUCUUGCCAUGAUUGGCUGUGAGAUCUCUCCAAAAAGAGAGAUCCUGACCUGCCUGGGGUCCCACAGGCAUGAAACGGCAAGGGGGCCCCAAGCUCUGGCCCCAAUUCUGAGAGGUUCUCGUGCUGCUUAGGGGCUUUCAAAACUCCACAGAAAAUUUGAGCCGCAAGGAGGUGGGACGGUGCCAAGGGAAGCCCUGCUGCACGUGGGGGCUGCUCUGUAGCUUAAGUUAGUUAACCACAGACAAGUUAGCCUCUCUAAGUCUUAGUUUUCUCAUCUGUAAAAUGGGAGUAACAAUACCUACCCACCUCCUGGGGCCGUCAUGAGGACUAAAAGAGAUGACAGGAGAAGUGUCUAAUCAGGUGUCUGGCACAUAGUUCGUGCUUACCACUUGCUCCUUUCUCAGUGCUGCUUCACCCUCAGCCCAGCCCCUUUGCUGUGCAGACCCUGUCACAGAAGCAGCUCCCUAGUCGGCUCCAACUCACAUCUCCUUUAUCAAGUUUUCUGCCAAAUACCAAGCCCGAGGAUUCAUUCACCCAUUCAUUCACCAUUUACUGUGUGCCAGGGACAGACACAGGUGCUGGGGAUGUAGCAGAAACACAACAGUGAAAAAUCCCUGCCAUGUGGAGCUGACGUUCUAGUGGGGGAGGCAGAUGAGAAACCAAUGAACAAAUCGAUGGUACUGGGUUGAACCACAUGAAAUGGCUGAUAUUUGACAAUUUUAUAUGGUUCAACCAAAUGUAAGGGCAGUUAGUGUUAAGUGCCAGGAAGAAGUGAGUGCCAAGUGAGGACAUAAAGAAGGAUGGAGGGUCAGGGUGGCAGGGAUGCGACCUUGGGCAGCAGCCCAACGGGCAAUGGAGUGAGCCAUGCGGAUCUCUGGGGGAGGAGCCGGUGUCUGCCUUCCAGACUUUUCCACUCCGGUUCUCACAUCUGACCUGCGUUCAGCCUCAUUCCCCCUGUGCCACCCCUAUCCUAACAAUCUCUGCUAGGACCUCCAGCUCAGAACACCUGGGACAGCUUACUGGCCUCCAGCUUACUGGGCCAUCUUUCCCCAGUACCACUUCCCCGUUCAGGGGACUUAGGGCCUGAACAGAACAUCCAUCCCAAGAGCAGAUUAUCAGACACCUCUUUCUCACAGGCGCCCCUUAACUGUACCAGCUGUUCCCUCAGGCUCCCCGCCUCCACUGUGCUGCCCCGGCCUCACUCCCGCCCUCAGUGUUAGCUCCCCCUGGUGGAUGACAGGGGUAGAGACCACUCUGCUGGAGAGGCUGCUCCCCGCCACAAAGUGGGCUUCCCCUCCUCACACCCUAAAGCGCCGGCACCCUCAAGGCCCCCUCUAUUCCCCUCUAUUCUCCCCCUCUAUUCCCCCCCAAGACCCACCGCCCUUCACCCUACCUACAGGAUGGGCCCUCCUGUGCUUGACUCUUUGAAUACGGACCUGAGGUCUGUCUGGUGAUAUUCCAGGGACGUUGAGGUCUCUGCUUUGAGCUCUGCAUUGUCCUUUGUAGCCUUCAUCACACUUUUUUUUUCCCCCCACACCAGCAGUUUGUGGAAGUUUGUGACCCAGGGAUUGAGCCCAUACUACAGAUGUAGCCAGAGCUGCAGCAAUGACAAUGCUGGAUCUUUAACCUGCUGAGCCACCAGGGAACUCCCAUCACACUCUUAAUUAAUCUGCAUUGUCCUCUGUGAGGUGUCCGUCUCCACCACUUGUCUAUGAGGGCAAUGACAGUGUCUUGGUCACUGCUGAGCCCUUGUGACCAUGCUGGCCCCCCUAGGUACUCAGUAAAUAAUGAAUGAAUGAAUGAAUGAACCAAAGAUUUUUGGGUUUCUUGUGUGUACAAGAGGCAGUGAAAGGAUAUGGUUUGAGACCUGGGUGGUGGAGCUGAGGGGGCAUCAGUAGAGGGGCGUCCUUGGAAUCCAUGCACUGUGGGGCGUCUGGGUGUGUAGUCGCUGUCAGCUGGGCCCCAUCUGUCCUCGAAGUCUAGCUUUCACUGUUCUCUCCUUGUCCCCUGAGGCAAAUGUGUUAUGCUGUGUGUGCAGUGGUAAAAAGACUCUUAAAACCCGGGUGUGCAAACUGAACUUGGGGACUUCCUCUGUCCCCAAGAAUUUGCAUCAAACUUUAUUCCAAAGCAGCACCUUCCCUGUUUCUAGCCCUCACUGCUCCCAUUGAGCUUCUAAGUAAGCCAGACCCUCCACCCUCUGGAAUUGCCCUUCCCUCCUGGUCUUUAAAGUUAGACUGUGAACUCAUCUCUUCACUCCUGAGUGAACUGCAUACCCACCCACCCCAAGACCCCACUCACCCUGUACACACCCUCCCGAACCCAUGACCCUGGCUGCCCCUUGCCACGUACCCCAGGCUUCAUGACACCCACAUUCUUGGGUGAACUUGUACUCUUCUGAGCCAGUGGAGAGUAGCUGGGGACUGGGAGGCAUAGCUGGAUUUGAAUCUCAUGCCAACACAAAGAUCUGUGUGACCUUGAGCAGGUGAAUGCUUGUCUCUGAGCCUCCUCCUCAGUACAAUGGGAGAGCAACACCCACCUGACAGAGGAAUUUUUUUUUUUUUUUCAGGUUUGCAGGCAUGGCAUAUGGACGUUUCCAGGCUAGGGGUUGAAUCAGAGCUGCAGCUGCCGGCCCAAGCCACAGCCACAGCCACACCAGAUCCAAGCCAAGUCUGCAACCUACACCACAGCUCACAACAAUGCCAGAUCCUUAACCCACUGAGCGAGGCCAGGGAUCAAACCCACGUCCUCAUGGAUGCUAGUUGAGCUCGUUACUGCUGAGCCACGAGAGGAACUUCCCUCCUUUCCCACUUUCCUUCAAGCCCUUAUACAUCCCUUAUGUAUAUCAUGUCUAUGAAGGGAGGCGUUUUGUUUGUUUUGUUUGUUGCUGAAUCUCAAGUUCCUGGCAUACACUGGCUAAAUGGCAGGUACACAGUAGGGGCUUUAGAAAUGGGAGCUACUGUGAUUACCAAACUUUUUUUUUUUGGUCUUUUUGUCUUUUUAGGGCCGUACCCGCGGCAUAUGGAGGUUCCCAGGCUAGGAGUCCAGUCGGAGCUGCGUCUGCCGGCCUACACGACAGCUCACGGAAAUGCUGGAUCCUUUACCCACUGAGCAAGGCUAGGGUUCGAACCUGUGUCCUCAUGCAUGCUAGUCAGGUUUGUUAACUGCUGAACCAUGAUGGGAACUCUGACAUUUGUUUUUUGUUUUGUCUUUAAGGGCUGCUCCCAUGGCAUAUGGAGGUUUCCAAAUUAGGGGUCAAAUCGGAGCUGCCAACCUACACCACAACCACAGCAAUGCAGGAUCUGAGCCACCAAUACCACAGCUCAAGGCAACGUCAGAUCCUUAACCCACUCAGGGAUCAAACCUGAGUCUUCAUGGAUAUUAGUCAGGUUCAUUACUGCUGAGCCAUGAUGGGAACUCCUAUCUUAUUUGUUUGCACGUUCAUGCCUGGGGCAGCCCUGGCUCCAAUGACCUGCCAAACUGCGGUAACAGGGCCACUGUGAUUCCUGGGCUGCUGUGUGACCUGCUCCAGGCAGAGGAGGCCGAGCACCAGAGGACACCUCAGAAGCCUGCCUUCUAGGCCAGAGGUCACUCCAUAGGCCUGUUCCACCACUGCUGUAUAAACAGCCAGGACAA